Molecule: ribosomal RNA, 534 nt
Filed under: Crocidura foxi (Fox's shrew)
Lineage: Eukaryota; Metazoa; Chordata; Mammalia; Eulipotyphla; Soricidae
Description: partial large subunit ribosomal RNA
Rfam family: Bacterial large subunit ribosomal RNA
Source: RNAcentral
CACCUCUAGCAUUACCAGUAUUAGAGGCACUGCCUGCCCAGUGACAUUAGUUAAACGGCCGCGGUAUCCUGACCGUGCAAAGGUAGCAUAAUCAUUUGUUCCUUAAUUAGGGACUUGUAUGAAUGGCCCCACGAGGGUUUAACUGUCUCUUACUUUCAAUCAGUGAAAUUGACCCUCCCGUGAAGAGGCGGGAAUACAAAAAUAAGACGAGAAGACCCUAUGGAGCUUAAAUUAAUUUGCUCAACAAAAUUUAAAUUCAGCCCAACAGGAAUAAUUAUAAUUUAACUGAGCAAUAAAUUUUGGUUGGGGUGACCUCGGAGUAUAACAAAACCUCCGAGUGAUUACAACUAAGACAUACUUGUCAAAGUUACGUAACUUAUUGAUCCAAUCAUAUUGAUCAACGAAACAAGUUACCCUAGGGAUAACAGCGCAAUCCUAUUUGAGAGUUCAUAUCGACAAUAGGGUUUACGACCUCGAUGUUGGAUCAGGACACCCAAAUGGUGCAGCAGCUAUUAAAGGUUCGUUUGUUCAACG